UUUUUAAAGGUUGACCUCGGAUCAGGUAGGAAUACCCGCUGAACUUAAGCAUAUCAAUAAGCGGAGGAA
This 69-nucleotide ribosomal RNA is filed under the name Pyricularia angulata. RNAcentral's name for it is "partial 28S ribosomal RNA". The stretch from base 12 to 69 matches the Rfam family "Eukaryotic large subunit ribosomal RNA", at positions 1 to 58 of the family's 3401-position model. Lineage: Eukaryota; Fungi; Ascomycota; Sordariomycetes; Magnaporthales; Pyriculariaceae. The record is from RNAcentral.